GUGCUCGCUUUGGCAGCAUAUAUACUAAAACUGGAAUGAUACGGAGAAGAUUGGUGCGGCCCUGCACAAGGAUGACGCACAAAUCUGUGAAGUGUUCCAUACAAAA
This 106-nucleotide small nuclear RNA is filed under the name Colobus angolensis palliatus. Lineage: Eukaryota; Metazoa; Chordata; Mammalia; Primates; Cercopithecidae. The record is from RNAcentral.